This is a long non-coding RNA of Lutra lutra (Eurasian river otter), 1318 nucleotides long. RefSeq lists it as uncharacterized. Lineage: Eukaryota; Metazoa; Chordata; Mammalia; Carnivora; Mustelidae. The transcript has 4 exons. The record is from RefSeq and is a predicted model, not a curated record.
CAGAAGAAGAGCAGCAGAGACUGGAUGAUGGCUCGCACAGCAGACAAACCAAGAAGGAUAUGCCAUCGCUCAUGAUUGCCCAGGAUAAAGUUGAGGCCAACAAUCUGAAAAGGCAGGGAGGAAGCAUGGCAACUGCACAACACUUUAGGUUCUGUAUGACAGUCUCUCCUCCAGCCCUGCAGCUCGGCCUGUGAAGAUGAUUAAUGGAGAAAGUACAGCCAGGAUCACAGUCAGGUAGCACAUUUCAUAUCUUAAAGCGAUCAGCACAAAUGCAGUGAUGCCUGUUCAAGCAGACUUCCAAGGACAGCACACACUAUCGACACAAAGAGCUCUUCCACAUUUCCAGAAUACAGUGACAAGAACUGGUACAUAUAAUAAUAAAGAACCCCCCUCCCUUUUAUUUAACUUCAUGGAAUGGGAGGUCAGACUUCAGGCACUUCUUUGUCUGGCAGUGGACAAAACCAAAAGGGCUCCGACCUGAAUUUCACAUCUCUGUCUAAUCUACCGCACAAGAGGGACCAGAGACACCAAUGACCAAUGAGUCACAAGAGCAGACAGAAAACUGUUAGUAGGUCUUGACAACCAGGAAUGAAGAUGCUUUUUAAAAAUAUGUACUUGAUGCCAAGUAUGUAAGAAAUGGUAUCUUAGAAAGCAAUGCCAUUGUAUUAGAAAAAUGGAGUCCCUGUCCAGGUGACCUUGUGGGAUUUCAUCUGGACCUUGAUCUAUACUGUUGAAAUAGCUGUAGGUCUUCUUGAAGCAUCAUUUAAGUCUUCAAGAAAAAUAGUAAAAAUAGUGUCAUCUAUAUAACCAGAGCCAUUGAUUCUGUGUGGAACUUAGUGCAAGCUGUUUGCAUUCAUACUCUGUGCAGUGGCAAUGGCCGGGGUGUAACUGGCCUGGGGAGAACGCUCACCAUUCGAAUGGAGAUCUUAGAGGUCUUCUGUUUCUGCAGUAUGGAUGCAGGAAUCCACACUAUUUUCCCCCUCACUGGCACCCCAGAAUGAUGGUCACCUGUCAGAACCUGAACCAAGACUAUGGUUUGGGCAGGCUCCAUGGAUUUUACAGUAUGAUUAUCAAUUUAGAGCAGUAAGUACUGAAAAGAUCUCGUGAAACUUACUUUGGGGCAAGGGCUCAGUUUCACUUUGUAGAACAACAAAAAUAAAAUGAGCCAAUUCCAUAAACAAAAUCCCCUCUGGGAAGAACUAAAACUAAACACUGAAACUAAUUAGUUUCAAAAUUAAAGAAAUUUUUACUAGGGUGCUAUUAAGAUGGAUGAAAAGCACAACCCUCCUCCCACCAUAAAAAAAAAAAAAGGAAGGAA